Molecule: ribosomal RNA, 287 nt
Filed under: uncultured bacterium
Lineage: Bacteria
Description: partial 16S ribosomal RNA
Rfam family: Bacterial small subunit ribosomal RNA
Source: RNAcentral
GUGCCUACGGGAGGCAGCAGUAGGGAAUAUUGCUCAAUGGGGGAAACCCUGAACCAGCCAUGCCGCGUGCAGGAUGACGGCUCUAUGAGUUGUAAACUGCUUUUGUACGAGGGUAAACCCCGAUACGUGUAUCGGGUUGAAAGUAUCGUACGAAUAAGGAUCGGCUAACUCCGUGCCAGCAGCCGCGGUAAUACGGAGGAUCCGAGCGUUAUCCGGAUUUAUUGGGUUUAAAGGGUGCGUAGGCGGUUUGAUAAGUUAGAGGUGAAAUGUCGGGGCUCAACCCCGAA